This is a long non-coding RNA of Portunus trituberculatus (swimming crab), 1091 nucleotides long. RefSeq lists it as uncharacterized. NCBI's taxonomy places the organism in Eukaryota, Metazoa, Arthropoda, Malacostraca, Decapoda, Portunidae. The record is from RefSeq and is a predicted model, not a curated record. The transcript has 2 exons.
GUGUGUGUGUGUGUGUGUGUUUGUGUGUGUGUGUGUGUGAGAGAGAGAGAGAGAGAGAGACGGUUGGUGGCCCAGAUGUAGGGUAUAGACAGGGAGGUAUAGAGGAGAGAUGGUGGGCAGAUGGAAAUAGAGGUGAGGCUUAAAUCACACGUCAUGACUUCUAGCCAAUAAUAUUUACCUGUUCAAAUAUCUUGAGUUGGCACGUCACUAAGAAUAAGGGUAGGAAGACUGCUUCAAUAAAUAGGGAACCGACUUAUAAUUUAGAUGUUUAAGGUGAAAAUAAAGAGGAAUAGACACAGUGUGCUUCACUGAACAGAAUGGCGAACUACACGCUGUUUGACGUAAGCAGUGAUUUAAUUCAGUGUGUUCGUGGUAUUAUGAUAUUGAAAUGUUGAACUCUUAUUACUAGAGACGAAACAGGAAGUGUGACACAAGUAUAUAAGACUAGAACUAGAUUGUAGAAGUUGAGAAAGGACUCAGAAAUGCACCCUGUUGUAGUUGUUGGCGAAGUGAUGCAAGCACAGCGGAGGAAAUUCAACACAGGAUUUUAGCUCUGAGCUGCAAGAUAAGCUGGGAAUUGCAGCUCUGAGUGUCUUCCUCUAUAGGAUGGUGAAUCACUCGCUGGAGAGGAUAGCGAAUGAAAAGUGCCCCCAAUAUCCUCUGAUGGUGAUCCCCAUGAAGAGGAUCCCUAUUGGUGCCGUAGAUAUCUUCAACCCUGCCCCCGUCGCUGCUCCAAAUGGCAAGUCAUCGCCAUACUAGUGGCCAGCUAAUCUACCUUAUGUGCCUUGCAGAGUGUUCCCAACGCGUGCUGAACAGUAAAGGAAGGAAGUAUACUUGCACACUAUGUAAAUUGUCAAUAAAAGAAGAAUAUAUACUUAUGCAGAUGUGUGUAUUAAGUAGCAUAUAUACACACACACACACACACACACACACACACACACACACACACAGAUUUGUAAGGUUCCCAACUGUUACUUUUCUCUUUUUCUCUAAACAGUAACGACUUUGAACCAGCAUUGUCAUUUUUUAUAGUUACACACAUAUAACGAAUGUACAUGAUAUGCCGUGAUGUGAAUAAACAUGUGACAGAA